RNAcentral lists this ribosomal RNA (460 nucleotides) under uncultured bacterium. RNAcentral's name for it is "partial 16S ribosomal RNA". It matches the Rfam family "Bacterial small subunit ribosomal RNA", at positions 338 to 795 of the family's 1533-position model. The record is from RNAcentral.
CCUACGGGAGGCAGCAGUGAGGAAUAUUGGUCAAUGGACGAGAGUCUGAACCAGCCAAGUAGCGUGAAGGAUGACUGCCCUAUGGGUUGUAAACUUCUUUUAUAAAGGAAUAAAACGAGGCACGUGUGCCUUUUUGCAUGUACUUUAUGAAUAAGGAUCGGCUAACUCCGGCCCAGCAGCCGCGGUAAUACGGAGGAUCCGAGCGUUAUCCGGAUUUAUUGGGUUUAAAGGGAACGUAGAUGGGUUGUUAAGUCAGUUGUGAAAUUUUGCGGCUCAACCGUAAAAUUGCAAUUGAUACUGGCAGUCUUGAGUACAGUUGAGGUAGGCGGAAUUCGUGGUGUAGCGGUGAAAUGCUUAGAUAUCACGAAGAACCCCGAUUGCGAAGGCAGCUUACUAAACUGUGACUGACAUUGAUGCUCGAAAGUGUGGGUAUCAAACAGGAUUAGAUACCCGAGUAGUC